AGCACCACAACAGGUGGAGCCUGCGGUUUAAUCGGACUCAACGCCGGGAAACUCACCAGAUAAGACAGCUGAAUGAUAGUCGGGCUGAAGACUCUACUUGACUAGCUGAGAGGAGGUGCAUGGCCGUCGUCAGUUCGUACUGUGAAGCAUCCUGUUAAGUCAGGCAACGAGCGAGACCCACGCCAACAGUUGCCAGCUCGUCCUCCGGGAUGGUGGGGACACUGUUGGGACCGCCUCUGCUAAAGAGGAGGAAGGAAUGGGCAACGGUAGGUCAGCAUGCCCCGAAUUAUCUGGGCUACACGCGGGCUACAAUGGGUGGGACAAUGGGUAUCGACACCGAAAGGUGAAGGCAAUCUCCUAAACCCAUCCGUAGUUCGGAUUGUGGGCUGCAACUCGCCCACAUGAAUCUGGAAUCUGUAGUAAUCGUGUCUCAAAAUGGCACGGUGAAUAUGUCCCUGCUCCUU
This 464-nucleotide ribosomal RNA is filed under the name uncultured Methanomicrobiales archaeon. Its description in RNAcentral is "bacterial SSU rRNA". It matches the Rfam family "Archaeal small subunit ribosomal RNA", at positions 875 to 1338 of the family's 1478-position model. The record is from RNAcentral. Lineage: Archaea; Methanobacteriati; Methanobacteriota; Methanomicrobia; Methanomicrobiales.